UACGUAGGGUGCAAGCGUUAAUCGGAAUUACUGGGCGUAAAGCGUGCGCAGGCGGUCGUGCAAGACAGAUGUGAAAUCCCCGGGCUCAACCUGGGAACUGCAUUUGUGACUGCACGGCUGGAGUGCGGCAGAGGGGGAUGGAAUUCCGCGUGUAGCAGUGAAAUGCGUAGAGAUGCGGAGGAACACCGAUGGCGAAGGCAGCCCCCUGGGCUAGCACUGACGCUCAGGCACGAAAGCGUGGGGAGCAAACAGG
This 253-nucleotide ribosomal RNA is filed under the name uncultured bacterium. Its description in RNAcentral is "partial 16S ribosomal RNA". It matches the Rfam family "Bacterial small subunit ribosomal RNA", at positions 524 to 776 of the family's 1533-position model. The record is from RNAcentral.